This 454-nucleotide ribosomal RNA is filed under the name uncultured bacterium. RNAcentral's name for it is "partial 16S ribosomal RNA". It matches the Rfam family "Bacterial small subunit ribosomal RNA", at positions 28 to 507 of the family's 1533-position model. The record is from RNAcentral.
GAUGAACGCUGACAGAAUGCUUAACACAUGCAAGUCUACCUGAACUUCGGUUUGGGUGGCGGACGGGUGAGUAACGCGUAAAGAACUUGCCUCACAGUUAGGGACAACAUUUGGAAACGAAUGCUAAUACCUGAUAUUAUGAUUUUAGGGCAUCCUAGGAUUAUGAAAGCUAUAUGUGCUGUGAGAGAGCUUUGCUUCCCAUUAGCUAGUUGGAGAGGUAACGGCUCACCAAGGCGAUGAUGGGUAGCCGGCCUGAGAGGGUGAACGGCCACAAGGGGACUGAGACACGGCCCUUACUCCUACGGGAGGCAGCAGUGGGGAAUAUUGGACAAUGGACCAAAAGUCUGAUGCAGCAAUUCUGUGUGCACGAUGACGUUUUUCGGAAUGUAAAGUGCUUUCAGUUGAGAAGAAAAAAAUGACGGUACCAACAGAAGAAGUGACGGCUAAAUACGUG